CAAUCGGAUCUUCUCAGAUCCACAAAUUCCUCCUAAGAUCCCUAA
Non-coding RNA from Picea glauca (white spruce), 45 nucleotides. The record is from Rfam. NCBI's taxonomy places the organism in Eukaryota, Viridiplantae, Streptophyta, Pinopsida, Pinales, Pinaceae.